This 2177-nucleotide ribosomal RNA is filed under the name Triticum aestivum (bread wheat). RNAcentral's name for it is "partial small subunit ribosomal RNA". Lineage: Eukaryota; Viridiplantae; Streptophyta; Magnoliopsida; Poales; Poaceae. The record is from RNAcentral.
CGGUGAGGAGAAACUGUAGGUGGGCUAAGCGCAGCGAGCUUUCUGUAGGGGCUAAGGGGUGGGUGGGUGGCUCGGGAUUGGGAUUGGGGCCGCUGGCUUCUACGGCCGCUGCCGCCCCGCGCAAGCGUACGGCCGCUUGUUGGCGCACGUGUCGUCGCGCCGCGACGUCUGCGUGCCGUAGACCGUCUCGCGGUAGCCGAUGCUGGGGAUGCGGGGGCUCUUGUUGUUGUUCGUCGUCCGGGGGAGGAGGAGGCAGAGGCGGUUGCGGCGUCGGCGGCGUCGGUUGCGGCGGCGGCUUCGGCGGCGCGGAGGGAGGAGGCUGGGGCCGCGGAGGAGCCUCUUGCGGAUGUGGUCGAAGGUCCCGGAGGAGCGCGAGCGGGCGCAGUGACCUAGGUUGAGGCUGCUCUGGGCCCCGCGGACGUUCUUCACGCCGGCACAACCGGUAGAGUGGAAGGUCACGGCGUUGAAGGAAAGACAGUUCCUCGAACGGUACCUGCUGCUGUAGGUUCGACCGUACGACAGGCGGCGCGUCCGGUUCCGGUUCAAGCUCCUCUAGUGCUUCUUUCGGAGACCACGGUCUCUGCGACUGCUCCUCCCAAGACUGCUCCUUCUACUCCUACUCUAACUGUCGCUAAGGAGACUAAGGCUAUAACUAGGGCUCGACCUCUUCUAUUAACGACUUGCCCUCGCACGGUUUUCGGCACCUCCCUUCGCCAGUCCCCUCCUCCUGUUCUUCUGUUCGGCGGUAUCCUCGUUCUCGUCCCCUUCUAGCUUCGUGUCCUACUCGUCCUUCUCACUGUCACUCCUGCUAAGCCUCCUCCUCUCUUGAUUCCUGUUCUUCUUCUUAUCCGCCUUCUUCGUGUCUAGGAGUCUACUCCUAUCGCUCUCACUGAGACUGUCCUUCUACGUGUCCUUCUCAUCCUUUCUAUCCUUCUCCGCCUCCUGGGUGGCGGCCUUCCUACUAAGUAGUCUACUACUACUUAGACCUCCCCUUCCCUCCUCCGUAGUGGCGGUGGUGUUCUCCGCAGUAGUGGCCUCCCUACGUAGACCAUCACUGUCACUACCGUCACUUGGGGGUGUACCUUCUUUCGCUAGGUCGUUCUUCUUCUCGGUGUUCUCCAGUCUUUCAGUACAUAACCCACUCCUACUCGCUGUAACAGGCGUUCCCCGUUCGGCGAGACCUCUCUUCUCAUUCCUCGUAUUCUCCCCGAUUUCUCCUCGCGACUUCGCCAUUUAACGUGAGUAGCUACUAACGUUGUCACGAAUAGGAAACAAUAAACAGAACAGUUUACCAACAACGUAAAAUUCGUACUAAGAAUUAUACACAUUGUAUAAACACAUAAUGACGAACAGUCACCGACUUGGUAGGUAUAUACGUAUUUACCACAACGGAACUUUAGUCAUUAAACACGUAUAUAAAUUAUUCUUAGAAAGUUUCCAUCGAAAUCGUAUGGUGAUUGAUAUUAUAACGUCACUACCUCGGACAUUUCGUCCGUCCAUAUAGUUCUAACCGGAACAUAUUUCGAGAAGUCAAUAGUCCACCAUUUUCCUAUAACCCACCCUAUUGAAUACGUCCAAAUACGUCUUGAGUCUACAAAGAUACGAACAUAAAGUCAAAAGGACGUUUAAGUACACGGCAUCGGUGCAUUAUUUUAGCCAUGACUGUGUAUAAACCAGUUCUAAAGAUUUACAGACUAAACUAUAGUCGACUAAAUAACAACGUCUGUACCAUCGAGAGAUAUAUUAACCAAAACUCAAUUGCUACUACUAGAUAUGAUACUAAAACUAAAUCGGCUAAACAUGGUUAAAGAAACUACAGAUUGAGACUUAGUUACAUCGUAACCCACUCAACCUCUUGGACAAUGUUGUGUGAACGUACUGUUCUUAAACUAGAAGACAACCUAAACCAUAUACAAUGCCGAUGGUUGUAGUUUGACACUUAAGAGAAAACGAUAAAUUACGCAAUCAAAUUUCAGAUAACUCCACAAAAAGGAACCAUCACUGAAAUCAGACGUCAAAUUGAACGUACCAUUCAAUGAGGUGGUUAGAGUACCACCCCUCACUAGAGAAAGGACGUGAAAUUCGCAAACUUCACGCCUGAACCCUCCAUGUAAGAUCAGAUCUCGUUUCGGAAGAAAACGUGGAGAAGUCCAAGGUGAUGAACGGAUUCUUUUGUG